AUUCAUUAAUUGUUAGUAGUUUACUGUCACUGUCUUUGUAGAAUAAUUUGGUCAAUUACAUUACAUUCUUGAAUACCGCUACAUUCAAUCAAGGUCGUGACAAUUUGCUAACGGUAAAACCUUCGAUGAAUGGCUCUUCGCCUUGUCGGUCACAACUGAACUGUCCAAUCAGCUGUCUUCAAACUGAGACCGUGAUGAAUUCAAUAUGGACGUAAAAUGUACCAGUUAGCCAGCUAGCUAGCUUUUUGCCGAAAUUUUGUUAAUAAACAAGCUUCAGUUUUAUUUCGGUGUUGUGACGGAAACAGCUGUCUCUGCUUCUCAUAACUGCUUAGUUUAUUUUCAACCGCACUGUAUUUGCGUUUUUUAAAAUAUAAUUCAAACAGGGGAAGAUCACUUGGAGAAAAGUGUGAAGAGGCUGGUUUGAUGUGCACGGCACAGAGAGAGGAGGCACCAUGAGUGGGGAGCUGGAUGUGCUGACUGUGGUGAACCAGCUACGAGAUCUUGCAGCUGACCCCCUCAACAGACGAGCCAUAGUACAGGACAAUGGCUGCUUACCAGGGCUCAUCCUCUUUCUGGACCACCCCAACCCUCAGGUUGUCUACUCCGCAUUAUUGGCAGUGCGCUACCUUGCAGAAUGUCGGUCCAACAGAGAGAAAAUGAAGGGAGAGCUGGGCAUGAUGCUGAGUCUGCAGAAUGUCAUGCAGAAGAGCACCUCCCCAGGGGAGACCAAGCUUCUGGCGUCUGAGAUUUAUGAGAUUCUGCAGGCGGCUGGUAAUGACCAGGCAGAGCAGGCCGAGGCUGAAGCCGCCUCCUGCAGACGCAAGGCCCACUUCUUCAUGGGCUCCACCAACAAGCGGGCCAUGACCGUGGUGCUGCACAUCAAUGGCCUGGACGACUCAGCUCGUAGAAGUCUGUGUGAGGAGGCCCUGCUGAAGAUCCCAGGGGUGAUCAGCUUCACCUUCCAGAUGGCUGUGAAGAGGUGUGUGGUCAGGAUCCGCUCUGACCUCAAGGCUGAGGCGCUGGGCACGGCGAUCAACUCCACCAAGGUGAUGACGGCUGCACAGGUAGUGAAGGGAGAGGAUGGAGGAGAGCUGAUGCUUCCAUUCCAGGAGGGUGCGGAGGUGGUGGUGGUGGAGCACAACGUGGAUGUCCCAGACUACCUCCCUGAGGAGGAAAGCCCAUCUCAGGAGCAGGACAAGGCCGUGACCCGUGUGGGCUCCAUCACAGAUGGUGUGGGCUGGCUCAGCACCGCCGCCAACUUCCUGUCCCGCUCCUUCUACUGGUGACCACUUCCUGUAGCGUGUGCUGUGAUGACGAUCCUCAUUGGAAGAGAAUACUUUGGCCUUGUUGAACUUCAGAUUGUGAAUAAAUCCAUUACAUUUGAGCAUAUCAAUUACGGAAUCUAUUUGAAGCUGCAGUACAUGGCUGAUAUGGGACAGCAAAGAAAACGUGUACAUUUUCCAUGUGGCACUGAAGCCUGUUACACAACUCCAGGCAUGUUGGCUGCGGCCUCCGUCCGCCUUCUCCUCUCCAACAGCUAGUGGACGUCGCGAUGAGCAAUGGAUCCAUCUGGUGUGUCCUCUCCUCCAACUGGUGUGUGAACAUGAAGUAUAGAUGGCAUUUUUACCAGCCCAGAGCCACUGCUACCUGGAAGAUAUGGCAUAUACACUGAGUAUACAAAACAUUAGGAAACUUCCUAGUAUUGAGUUACAGACCCUUUUGCCCUCAGAACUGCUUAAAGUCUUCGGGGCAUGGACUCUACAAGGUACCAAAAGGGAUGGCAUUGGACAUGGGAAACUAACCUCUGACCUCAUUUGAUUGUGUAAACUCAAGGACCUAACCAGGUCAAAAUAGUAUUUAUACUGAACAAAAAUAUAAAUGCGUCAUGCAACAAUUUCAAAGGUUUUACUGGGUUACAGUUCAUAUCAGUAAAUACAUGAAUUAGGCCCGAAUCUAUGGAUUUCACAUGACUGGGCAGGAGUGCAGACAAUAGUAGGCCUGGGAGGGCAUAGGACCACCUAUUUGGUAGCCAGGCCCAGCCAAUCAGAAUUAGUUUUCCCCCACAAAAUGGCUGUAUUACAGGCAGAAAUAACCUAAUAGUGUACAGUGUAGGUUAAUGUAGUCAAGACAGUGUUUUCUAUAGGCAAGAGAACAUAAUGUUUAAAUGAGACUAAUUACCUAUUAUUUUAUAUACGCAUUAAAUGUGGUUUUAUGGAUGAAUUUGCAUGUUAAUUUACACAGUUCUAGAAGUCUUAGCCAGCCAGCUGGUUAUCAGUGUUGAUUGAAUUGUAGUCUCUCUCACCUCCAGACCUCGAUGUAAAGUAACACUGUAUGCUGAGGGCCUGUGUAAUUGUGGGUUUGUGGCAGGGCUGUUGAACAGAAGGUCUGCACUCUUCUUUCCCUGUCUCUCCUUCCCUCUCUCCUCCUCUUUCUUUCCAUCCCUUCCUCUCUCCCGGUCUCUCCCUCCCUCGCUACCUCUCUCCCUCCCCCAUCCAUCUCUCUCUGUUAGUCCUCCCUCACCCCCUUUUCAUAACGGUGACAGAUGGCUUCAGGCGAAUCUCUCAUAAUCAUGUCAGGACGGGUCCUUCGAUCCCAAUUCAACACAUUUCAUCAGAGAGAGAAUUACACACAGAUUAAGCCUGCUGCUAGAACAGACAACAAAGGCACACAAAGAUGGGCCUGGCAAACAAGUGUUCCUUUAAUCAUGUGACUCCUGUCACACCACCUCACCCUCUUACCACAACAGAAUGAACCCUGUCACACCACCUCACCCUCUUACCACAACAGAAUGAACCCAGUCACACCACCUCACCCUCUUACCAAAACAGAAUGAACCCGCUGAAAUUGGACUUCUCCCAAGUUCCUCUGGGUCCAAAUCACUAAGGACUUAAAAUGGUCCACUCACACGCGCACAGUCAUGAAGGAAGUUUGGUGUGGCCCUCAAAACAUCAAAAAGUUAUACAGCUGCACCAUUGAGAGCAUCUUGACUGGCUGCAUCACUGCUUGGUAUGGUAACAGCACCACCCUCGAUCGCAUACACUGCCGAGGGUGGUGCGGACAGCCCAGUACAUCACUGCUCGGUAUGGUAACGGCACCACCCUCGAUCACAUACACUGCCGAGGGUGGUGCGGACAGCCCAGUACAUCACUGCUCGGUAUGGUAACGGCACCACCCUCGAUCACAUACACUGCCGAUGGUGGUGCGGACAGCCCAGUACAUCACUGCUCGGUAUGGUAACAGCACCGCCCUCGAUCACAUACACUGCCGAGGGUGGUGCGGACAGCCCAGUACAUCACUGGGGCCAAGCUUCCUGCCAUUCAGGACUUCUAUAUCAGGCGGUGUGAAAGGAAGGCCUAGAAAAUUGUUAAGGCUCCAGUCAUCCAAGCCAUAGACUGUUUUCUCUGUUUCCACACAGCAAGCGGUACUGGCACAUGAAGUCUGACACCUACAGGUUCCUGAACAGCUUCUACCCCCAAGCCAUAAUGCUGCUAAAUACCUAACAAACGGGCUAUCUGAGUUGACUCUUGUAUUUAUGUUUUGCACUGUCUAUGCACACUCACAGGAAUCUACACACUCACAGGAAUCUACACACUCACUCGCUCACUCACACUGACACAGCAAAAACACAUAACACGCACACACAUUUAUGCUGACUCUACACACAAGCACAUACUCACAUACAAUCUUAAUUUAUGCUGUUGCUACUCUAUCAUAUAUCCUGAUGCCUAGUCACCUUACCCCUAUAUAUACAUAUAUAUAUAUAUAUACCCCUACCACUCCAGUAUCCCUGCAUAUUGUAAAUAUGGUAUUGGACCUGACCAAUAUAAAGCUUCUUACUUUCUCGUG
Oncorhynchus gorbuscha (pink salmon) is the source of this 3846-nucleotide RNA transcript. It is a transcript of the gene named armadillo repeat-containing protein 1-like, with no coding region annotated. The transcript is spliced from 9 exons. NCBI's taxonomy places the organism in Eukaryota, Metazoa, Chordata, Actinopteri, Salmoniformes, Salmonidae. The record is from RefSeq and is a predicted model, not a curated record.